RNAcentral lists this unclassified non-coding RNA (200 nucleotides) under Tomentella sp. Its description in RNAcentral is "partial internal transcribed spacer 2". The record is from RNAcentral. Lineage: Eukaryota; Fungi; Basidiomycota; Agaricomycetes; Thelephorales; Thelephoraceae.
UUAAGUUCAGCGGGUAGUCCUACCUGAUUUGAGAUCAAACGUUAAGAAGCUUGUCCUCCCUGAGGAGAGACGUCUGUGAGCUCCAGUGAACCUCCAUUACUGAAGGUAACCUGAUGGAAGGACCACAAGCGUAGAUAGUUAUCACACCUGUGACGCCACCAAACACUGGGAAGCUGAUCCAUUUGAGAGGAGCUGGCAGU